RNAcentral lists this ribosomal RNA (457 nucleotides) under uncultured bacterium. Its description in RNAcentral is "bacterial SSU rRNA". It matches the Rfam family "Bacterial small subunit ribosomal RNA", at positions 340 to 789 of the family's 1533-position model. The record is from RNAcentral.
UACGGAAGGCAGCAGUGGGGAAUAUUGCACAAUGGGCGAAAGCCUGAUGCAGCUAUGCCGCGUGUAUGAAGAAGGCCUUAGGGUUGUAAAGUACUUUCAUCGGGGAGGAAAAACAAAACUAAUAAUUUUAUUUCUUGACGUUACCCGAAAAAGAAGCACCGGCUAACUCCGUGCCAGCAGCCGCGGUAAUACGGAGGGUGCUAGCGUUAAUCAGAAUUACUGGGCGUAAAGAGCACGUAGGUGGUUUUUUUAAGUCAGAUGUGAAAUCCCUGGGCUUAACCUAGGAACUGCAUUUUGAAACUGAAAUACUAGAGUAUCGUAGAGGGAGGUAGAAUUCUAGGUGUAGCGGUGAAAUGCGUAGAUAUCUGGAGGAUACCUGUGGCGAAAGCGGCCUCCUAAACGAAUACUGACACUGAGGUGCGAAAGCGUGGGGAGCAAACAGGGAUUAGAUACCCGU